GGAUGUGAUCAUACCAGCACUAAAGCACCGGAUCCCAUCAGAACUCCGAAGUUAAGCGUGCUUCGGCGAGAGUAGUACUAGGAUGGGUGACCUCCUGGGAAGUCCUCGUGUUGCAUUCC
This 119-nucleotide ribosomal RNA is filed under the name Triticum aestivum (bread wheat). The record is from RNAcentral. Lineage: Eukaryota; Viridiplantae; Streptophyta; Magnoliopsida; Poales; Poaceae.